GAUAAGGAGACCAGACAGGCCAUUGAAAUGGCUUGCAAACAGGCGAGGGUCCAUUUUGUAGCUCAUCAGAGGAAGGGGAACUUGGAAUGCACCACAGGUCAGUGUAAGACACAGCUGUGAGAGAAUCAUUUCUACAUCAGUGAACGGUGGUGGCUGCAGGUGCGUGGCUUACCCAUCAGAGAGAUUCAGUCUCUGUAGAAUUUUCAUUCCUCAACUCCCCAUGGAACCAAAAUAGUGGCCACGCUUUGAUAUCUCUUCUCCACUGAAUAACUCUAACAACAGCAUGGAGAUGUUCCAGAAACUUCAUCCAUGGCCGAUGAUUUCUCAACCUAUUUCAUUGUGCACCCCAUACAAGGAGGGCCUCACUACUGUGUUCCCGAUGGAACGCUGCUCUCUGCACGUGGAAGAAAGCCCUGCUCAGCGAAUACUCCAAAGCUGCACCCCGAAUGAAAAGCUGAGGAGAAAGCAGGAAGUGUAAGCAUGACAUUUAGGGAAGAAUUAGAAGACUCACAAAGGCUCAAUAAAUCUAAGACCCUGAGUCCAUUUACCUAGGAAUU
Molecule: non-coding RNA, 557 nt
Organism: Peromyscus maniculatus bairdii (prairie deer mouse)
Lineage: Eukaryota; Metazoa; Chordata; Mammalia; Rodentia; Cricetidae
Source: RefSeq, a predicted model, not a curated record